This 274-nucleotide ribosomal RNA is filed under the name uncultured bacterium. RNAcentral's name for it is "partial 16S ribosomal RNA". It matches the Rfam family "Bacterial small subunit ribosomal RNA", at positions 523 to 796 of the family's 1533-position model. The record is from RNAcentral.
AUACAGAGGGUGCGAGCGUUAAUCGGAAUUACUGGGCGUAAAGCGCGCGUAGGCGGUCUAUUAAGUCAGAUGUGAAAUCCCAGGGCUCAACCUUGGAACUGCAUCUGAUACUGGUAGACUAGAGUUUUGGAGAGGGAAGUAGAAUUUCAGGUGUAGCGGUGAAAUGCAUAGAGAUCUGAAGGAAUACCAGUGGCGAAGGUGACUUCCUGGCCAAAAACUGACGCUGAGGUGCGAAAGCGUGGGUAGCAAACGGGAUUAGAAACCCGAGUAGUCC